AUGAUGCAAUGGCUUUAUUAGGCAUGGUCGACGUCUCUUUUUGUGGUUCUGAAUUUCGAGUUACACGAAUUGGUUUUGAGUUUUUUCUCUUCCUCUCUUUGUGUGGCUCUUUCUCUCAAGGAUUUCAAGUCGACCGCGUUCAUCUGAAGUGUUGGAGCCUGUAUUCAAGUCACAUUCUCGAGAUCCCGCCGAUUUGAUCAAACUUGAGAGGUUCUUAGGGGGGUCUAGAUUUCUUUCGAUUCGACCUCUGCACCUGGCGGUUAAUUGAAAUCGGAAUGAUUGAACCAUGCAUGUCAGAGCGUAUCGAGGCUGCACUUACAUAGUGUUGCCAUUUGCUUUGCAUCCAAUCACCUUUGCUCAGCUCAGCUCAUGACACGAAGGUCCUUGAAUCCGGAUUUGCUUCAACAGACCUAAACCAGUCUCGCCGUAGUCAGAGACUCACUCCUCGAGACUCAUCCAGGAGUUUUCAUAUCUGUCCAUCGUUGCUCGGAGGAAGGAAUGUCACCCACCAGGACUGUCAGCUGAACAUUAUGAACUUUGCUUGGCUGUCAAAAACCAAGCAAUUGCUCAGUCGAUUCCUCAGUAUCACUCGAAAUUCAUGUCCGCAGUGACGAGGACUAGAUACAUACAUCGAUACGGACGGAGUCAUGACCAACCUUGUUUUCGAAAUCUUCCGCCCGGGUGUCAAACUGCCAUUGACUCGUGUCAAAGUCACUUCUUUUCCUGCAAUGCCCAAAUCACCUCUGGAAACCAAGCAGCAGCUGUGGAAGGUGGCCUGCGUCUGGCAGCGACAAUCCGAGUUUGUUGUAAGCACUUCUCGGUCGGAUCCAUCCCAUUCUCGAGGAUUUCCUGCAAUUUCCUCUGCCCUAUUCUCCGGUUAGCAAACCGGGCGCGAAAGGCUCGCUCUUUCAGAUCACAAAGGUGUACGUACCUACGCUACAUACAGUAUUAACCCAAGAAGGAGAAAGAAAUGAGCGUUUAAAAAGGAACAACAGUUCAAGGACGUCACUUCUGACUCGUGCACACCGUCGGAAAUAUGAAUGGAUCUGGAAGUGGACAUGUUUCUGGGGAGGCUAAUGGAUCUCGCUAUGCAGGGCUUUUACCACCAUUGAGUGCUCAGUUUUGCCAACGAUGAGUGAGCAAAUGGAUAUGACACCCUAAAUGUGAGCAUGCUUCAAGUGUUUUAAGGAAGACGGAACCUACAAGCGGACGGUUUCGUGUUGCUUGGGGUGGUGUUUCUAGCACCAUUGAUGUGUGGUGUCGUUUUCCGUCGUCGUAACUUCAGUACGUCCCAAGUCAUUGAUGAUGGGUUUUAAUGCCAUGAUUACACCUAUCUGCGCUUCCUAACGAUCUCCACCGAAAACAAUAGUUCCCUGGGGCCUUCUACUUGACCUAUGUUCCACAAUCAACGGUGUUUUGAGUUCAAAAACAAGAGGAACUGCUGUGCCUCAAAACCGCUUUUGGAUUCUUCCGUCAAUUCAUCUCUCGUUUAUUUUGAUUGAUCAGGGAGGGUGAAUGCGGAUCUCAAGAUACGAGUCGUAUUAGCAUCGCUUAAGGACUUCCAGGUGUCUGAAAACGAAAUUGGAGGAUUCCCGGAGUUGUAGUUAGUCGAUUCGUUUGUGAGUGUUGAUUAUGCGAUACAUCCUUACCCAUUUCGGCCAGCUUUGAAUGGUUUGGUAGAGUUUGUCUCCAGGACAAUCGGUACUACCCGCUUGACGAUGGCCAAACAUCUCGUAAUUGGAUUGCACCUUUCCAAGCCCCACGGCACACUUCACAGUAAAGAAUCGAGAAAUGAUUAGGUCAUGCUUCAGUCAAUGUCAGGCUUCAAAUCGUCAAAGUGGAACAUACCGAAGCCAGUUGUUGGUAUACAUCCAUGGCUUCUUGAGUGGGGUUUUUCGUCAUGAAGCUACCAAUGAAGCAAGUCCCAUAUCCAACGGAGUUGUACCCUUGGGUGUGGGCUCCAAUCUUAUUCCAUCCGCGGCCCUCAUACACGUUACCAUCUCCACCAACUAGGAAGCUAAUGGUAAAGAAGACUUGAUUUCAGAAGGCCUUAAGAAGAAGAACACAUUUCAAUUCUUAAUUAGAUUGGCAUGGUUCCUUGAUGACAAGCUUGCUGAAAUUUGAUUUUAGCUUGCAAAACCCCGUUUUCAAUCACAUGUCAUUCUCUCUCGGCAGAUGAAGAUGAUUGUGACUCAUCUUAUUCGGUACGCUUUACAGAAUUGAGAAGAUUGAAUUUAGAAAAUUGUCGCCGUCUUAGAUUGUGCCUGAUAUAGUUUGAUAACCCCCCAAAUGAUGCUAUUAAUGUUUAAAUAAACUGUAGCAACAGGA
Long non-coding RNA from Tigriopus californicus, 2328 nucleotides. RefSeq lists it as uncharacterized. The record is from RefSeq and is a predicted model, not a curated record. The transcript has 2 exons. Lineage: Eukaryota; Metazoa; Arthropoda; Copepoda; Harpacticoida; Harpacticidae.